GCCAGGGGUGGUGGUGCACCCCUGUAAUCCCAGCUACUUGGGAGGCUGAGGUAGGAGAAUCACUUGAACCUGGGAGGCAGAGGUUGCAGUGAGCUGAGAUCAAGCCACUGCAUUCCAGCCUGGGUGACAAAGUGAGACUCCGUCUCAA
RNAcentral lists this non-coding RNA (148 nucleotides) under Homo sapiens (human). The record is from Rfam by way of RNAcentral. Lineage: Eukaryota; Metazoa; Chordata; Mammalia; Primates; Hominidae.